AUGACGUCAAGUCAUCAUGGCCCUUACGACCAGGGCUACACACGUGCUACAAUGGCAUAUACAAAGAGAAGCGACCUCGCGAGAGCAAGCGGACCUCAUAAAGUAUGUCGUAGUCCGGAUUGGAGUCUGCAACUCGACUCCAUGAAGUCGGAAUCGCUAGUAAUCGUAGAUCAGAAUGCUACGGUGAAUACGUUCCCGGGCCUUGUACACACCGCCCGUCACACCAUGGGAGUGGGUUGCAAAAGAAGUAGGUAGCUUAACCUUCGGGAGGGCGCUUACCACUUUGUGAUUCAUGACUGGGGUGAAGUCGUAACAAGGUAACCGUAGGGGAACCUGCGGUUGGAUCACCUCCUU
This 354-nucleotide ribosomal RNA is filed under the name Klebsiella pneumoniae. RNAcentral's name for it is "bacterial SSU rRNA". It matches the Rfam family "Bacterial small subunit ribosomal RNA", at positions 1179 to 1532 of the family's 1533-position model. The record is from RNAcentral. Lineage: Bacteria; Pseudomonadati; Pseudomonadota; Gammaproteobacteria; Enterobacterales; Enterobacteriaceae.